CCUUCUGCCGACUUAUACGCUUCCGCCUCAAUGAUUCCCCUUUCUCUCAUUCAUUCGUUCUUUUCAAGAUCCGCCUCCGCCAGGCACUUUAGGGUUUAGGUUUUUUCCGAUCUUAUCAUUAACGGUGAGUGAAGAUCCGUUAGAAUAGCUUGGAUUCGCGAACAAGGAAGAAUAGCUACACAUACUGCAAGCUUGGUCAUAUGAGUGACAUACACUUAAUGCUCAGAAGAAUCUUGAACAACAAAUAAAAGAGCGUGAUGAGAAAAACUCAGAACUUGAUUCCAAGUUGAACAGGCUUCACAAGUGAGCAAAACAGAGAAUUCAAGAGGUUCAAAAGCUAUACGGUCAAGUUGAAGAUCAUUUCCCUUUGGAGGAAAAUGAUGCACGGCCGUCUGACUGAAACUUAUCGUGUAGACAUGAUAUGUAUGGAUGAAGAGGGUCACCAGAUUCACGGUAGCUGUAUGCAUAGGAUUUUGCCAAGGCUUCAGGACCACUUCAAGCUGGAUGAAUGUCUUCUGAUUACCAGACCAUCGCUUGCACCCAACAAUUCAACCUACAACUGCACCAAAAAUAAUCAGAAGUUAACUUUCAGUUUUUUCACCCAGAUUCAAAAAAGUCAAGAUUGGAACGGGCCUAAGUUUACGUUUCAGUAUUUCAACAUUUUUGUCUUAAAG
Long non-coding RNA from Helianthus annuus (common sunflower), 674 nucleotides. RefSeq lists it as uncharacterized. The transcript has 5 exons. The record is from RefSeq and is a predicted model, not a curated record. NCBI's taxonomy places the organism in Eukaryota, Viridiplantae, Streptophyta, Magnoliopsida, Asterales, Asteraceae.